Molecule: ribosomal RNA, 456 nt
Filed under: uncultured bacterium
Lineage: Bacteria
Description: partial 16S ribosomal RNA
Rfam family: Bacterial small subunit ribosomal RNA
Source: RNAcentral
CUACGGGACGCUGCAGUGAGGAAUAUUGCGCAAUGGGCGAAAGCCUGACGCAGCGAUGCCGCGUGAGUGAAGAAACCCUUAGGGGUGUAAAGCUCUUUUUUAUGGGACGAAUGCCCGUUUCGGCGGGAGCGACGGUACCAUGAGAAUAAGCACCGGCUAACUCCGUGCCAGCAGCCGCGGUAAUACGGAGGGUGCAAGCGUUGUCCGGAUUUACUGGGCGUAAAGGGCGGGUAGGCGGGAUGAUCAGUCGGAGGUGAAAUUUGCACAGCUCAACUGGCAAAGUGCCUUCGAUACUGUCAUCCUUGAGUGAAGGAGGGGGUAGUGGAAUUCCCGGUGUAGCGGUGGAAUGCGCAGAUAUCGGGAGGAACACCGGUGGCGAAGGCGGCUACCUGGCCUUACACUGACGCUGAUGCGCGAAAGCGUGGGGAGCAAACAGGAUUAGAUACCCCCGUAGUC